RNAcentral lists this non-coding RNA (201 nucleotides) under Allomesorhizobium alhagi. RNAcentral also lists the same sequence under 1 other name. The record is from RNAcentral. Lineage: Bacteria; Pseudomonadati; Pseudomonadota; Alphaproteobacteria; Hyphomicrobiales; Phyllobacteriaceae.
CUAAAUUCCCGGCCAGACGGUCCUCCUCCCGCAAAGGGGGAGGCUAAGAGGGAAUGCGGUGCGGCUUUCCGGCCAACUCCGCAGCUGUCCCCGCAACUGUAAGCGAAGAGCCGAAGGCCGAAAACCACUGGGGAUAUCCCGGGAAGGCGGCCAAGGCGACGACUCGCGAGCCAGGAGACCUGCCGUCUGACGAAAAUAUCC